UUUGCUUGCGCAACAACUUCCAUCCUUCAUUCCUCUUCAGUUAUCUGUUAAGGCUUGUUUUGCUUUAUCAGAUUGUGGGGUUCCUGUAUUGCCUACCUACGUAAUGGUAUUCUCUUGAUCGAUCCUAGAUAUUUCCGUCCUGUAUCAUUCUUUUGAAUAAGAUGAACCUCGAAGCAGUCUCUUUGUUCCACAUUGUUAAUGCACGCAUUGAUGUUGUGGCCCAUUGAUCAUUGCUUGGUUUCAUGGACACAGAACAUGAUAUGGGCAUGGGGUCUCUUUUGAUCCCUAUUUUGUCCUCCAUUAGCGUUGCGCUACUCCUUUAAUGACACUCCCUUUCUUGCCUCGGCAUGUUCCAGCGGUUUGGGUUUCCGUUAUUCGACGAGGAAUGCAACGUGCAUUUAUCUAAGCGACAGCCUUCGCCCGUAUGGCACCGUCCCAGCGGGGUAGGUUUGUCUAUUAGGAAUGCUACCUGGUUGAUCCU
RNAcentral lists this unclassified non-coding RNA (481 nucleotides) under Lasthenia californica subsp. californica. RNAcentral describes it as "partial external transcribed spacer". Lineage: Eukaryota; Viridiplantae; Streptophyta; Magnoliopsida; Asterales; Asteraceae. The record is from RNAcentral.